Molecule: long non-coding RNA, 444 nt
Filed under: Ananas comosus (pineapple)
Lineage: Eukaryota; Viridiplantae; Streptophyta; Magnoliopsida; Poales; Bromeliaceae
Description: long non-coding RNA (ACOM_LNC011599)
Source: RNAcentral
UCAUCAAAGUUUUUUCUUUUUUUCAAGGAAAAACUUCAGAAACCCCCCUUGGUUUCAAUUUUUUUCACUUUAGUACCAUGUGGUUUAAAAUGUAUCAAGUUAGUACCCUGUGGUUUCUCACUUUAUCAUUUUAGUACUCUGUAGUUUAAAGUGUAUCAACUUAGUACCCUGUGGUUUUGCACUUUAUUAUUUUAGUACCCUGUUAUUUUAAUUUUGUAUCAAGUUAGUAUCAUGUUAUUUUUUAAACUAUAGGGUACUAAAGUGAUAAAGUGUGAAACCACAGGAUACUAAAGUGAUAAAAUGCAAAACCACAGGAUACUAACUUGAUACACUUGAAACCACAUGGUACUAAAGUGAUAAAAUAAGAAACCACAGGGUACUACCUUGAUACACUUUAAACCAUAGAGUAUUAAAAUAAAAAAAUGUGAAACCACGUUGGGGGUU